GGUUAAGCGACUAAGCGUACACGGUGGAUGCCCUGGCAGUCAGAGGCGAUGAAGGGCGUGCUAAUCUGCGAUAAGCGCCGGUAAGGUGAUAUGAACCGUUAUAACCGGCGAUACCCGAAUGGGGAAACCCAGUGUGAUUCGUCACACUAUCAUUAACUGAAUCCAUAGGUUAAUGAGGCGAACCGGGGGAACUGAAACAUCUAAGUACCCCGAGGAAAAGAAAUCAACCGAGAUUCCCCCAGUAGCGGCGAGCGAACGGGGAGGAGCCCAGAGCCUGAAUCAGCAUGUGUGUUAGUGGAAGCGUCUGGAAAGGCGCGCGAUACAGGGUGACAGCCCCGUACACAAAAGCGCAUGUGCUGUGAGCUCGAUGAGUAGGGCGGGACACGUGGUAUCCUGUCUGAAUAUGGGGGGACCAUCCUCCAAGGCUAAAUACUCCUGACUGACCGAUAGUGAACCAGUACCGUGAGGGAAAGGCGAAAAGAACCCCGGCGAGGGGAGUGAAAAAGAACCUGAAACCGUGUACGUACAAGCAGUGGGAGCACAGGUUUACCUGUGUGACUGCGUACCUUUUGUAUAAUGGGUCAGCGACUUAUAUUCUGUAGCAAGGUUAACCGUAUAGGGGAGCCGCAGGGAAACCGAGUCUUAAUUGGGCGUUAAGUUGCAGGGUAUAGACCCGAAACCCGGUGAUCUAGCCAUGGGCAGGUUGAAGGUUGGGUAACACUAACUGGAGGACCGAACCGACUAAUGUUGAAAAAUUAGCGGAUGACCUGUGGCUGGGGGUGAAAGGCCAAUCAAACCGGGAGAUAGCUGGUUCUCCCCGAAAGCUAUUUAGGUAGCGCCUCGUGAAUUCAUCUCCGGGGGUAGAGCACUGUUUCGGCUAGGGGGCCAUCCCGGCUUACCAACCCGAUGCAAACUGCGAAUACCGGAGAAUGUUAUCACGGGAGACACACGGCGGGUGCUAACGUCCGUCGUGAAGAGGGAAACAACCCAGACCGCCAGCUAAGGUCCCAAAGUCAUGGUUAAGUGGGAAACGAUGUGGGAAGGCCCAGACAGCCAGGAUGUUGGCUUAGAAGCAGCCAUCAUUUAAAGAAAGCGUAAUAGCUCACUGGUCGAGUCGGCCUGCGCGGAAGAUGUAACGGGGCUAAACCAUGCACCGAAGCUGCGGCAGCGAACGUAUCACUUAAAGCGAUUCAGCGGGUUACGAUUGACGGAGCGAAGCGACGUCAAAGCGUAUACAAAGUCGAGUCGGUUUAAGGAUACGUUCGUUGGGUAGGGGAGCGUUCUGUAAGCCUGUGAAGGUGGCCUGUGAGGGUUGCUGGAGGUAUCAGAAGUGCGAAUGCUGACAUAAGUAACGAUAAAGCGGGUGAAAAGCCCGCUCGCCGGAAGACCAAGGGUUCCUGUCCAACGUUAAUCGGGGCAGGGUGAGUCGACCCCUAAGGCGAGGCCGAAAGGCGUAGUCGAUGGGAAACGGGUUAAUAUUCCCGUACUUGGUGUUACUGCGAAGGGGGGACGGAGAAGGCUAUGUUGGCCGGGCGACGGUUGUCCCGGUUUAAGCGUGUAGGUGUGUGUUCCAGGUAAAUCCGGUUCACUUUAACACUGAGGCGUGAUGACGAGGCACUACGGUGCUGAAGCAACAAAUGCCCUGCUUCCAGGAAAAGCCUCUAAGCAUCAGGUAACAUCAAAUCGUACCCCAAACCGACACAGGUGGUCAGGUAGAGAAUACCAAGGCGCUUGAGAGAACUCGGGUGAAGGAACUAGGCAAAAUGGUGCCGUAACUUCGGGAGAAGGCACGCUGACAUGUAGGUGAAGUGAUUUACUCAUGGAGCUGAAGUCAGUCGAAGAUACCAGCUGGCUGCAACUGUUUAUUAAAAACACAGCACUGUGCAAACACGAAAGUGGACGUAUACGGUGUGACGCCUGCCCGGUGCCGGAAGGUUAAUUGAUGGGGUCAGCGCAAGCGAAGCUCCUGAUCGAAGCCCCGGUAAACGGCGGCCGUAACUAUAACGGUCCUAAGGUAGCGAAAUUCCUUGUCGGGUAAGUUCCGACCUGCACGAAUGGCGUAAUGAUGGCCAGGCUGUCUCCACCCGAGACUCAGUGAAAUUGAACUCGCUGUGAAGAUGCAGUGUACCCGCGGCAAGACGGAAAGACCCCGUGAACCUUUACUAUAGCUUGACACUGAACAUUGAGCCUUGAUGUGUAGGAUAGGUGGGAGGCUUUGAAGCGUGGACGCCAGUCUGCGUGGAGCCGGCCUUGAAAUACCACCCUUUAAUGUUUGAUGUUCUAACGUGGACCCGUGAUCCGGGUUGCGGACAGUGUCUGGUGGGUAGUUUGACUGGGGCGGUCUCCUCCUAAAGAGUAACGGAGGAGCACGAAGGUUGGCUAAUCCUGGUCGGACAUCAGGAGGUUAGUGCAAUGGCAUAAGCCAGCUUGACUGCGAGCGUGACGGCGCGAGCAGGUGCGAAAGCAGGUCAUAGUGAUCCGGUGGUUCUGAAUGGAAGGGCCAUCGCUCAACGGAUAAAAGGUACUCCGGGGAUAACAGGCUGAUACCGCCCAAGAGUUCAUAUCGACGGCGGUGUUUGGCACCUCGAUGUCGGCUCAUCACAUCCUGGGGCUGAAGUAGGUCCCAAGGGUAUGGCUGUUCGCCAUUUAAAGUGGUACGCGAGCUGGGUUUAGAACGUCGUGAGACAGUUCGGUCCCUAUCUGCCGUGGGCGCUGGAGAACUGAGGGGGGCUGCUCCUAGUACGAGAGGACCGGAGUGGACGCAUCACUGGUGUUCGGGUUGUCAUGCCAAUGGCACUGCCCGGUAGCUAAAUGCGGAAGAGAUAAGUGCUGAAAGCAUCUAAGCACGAAACUUGCCCCGAGAUGAGUUCUCCCUGAGACUUUAGGUCUCCUGAAGGAACGUUGAAGACGACGACGUUGAUAGGCCGGGUGUGUAAGCGCAGCGAUGCGUUGAGCUAACCGGUACUAAUGAACCGUGAGGCUUAACCUU
RNAcentral lists this ribosomal RNA (2989 nucleotides) under Salmonella enterica subsp. enterica serovar Derby. RNAcentral's name for it is "23S ribosomal RNA". It matches the Rfam family "Bacterial large subunit ribosomal RNA". Lineage: Bacteria; Pseudomonadati; Pseudomonadota; Gammaproteobacteria; Enterobacterales; Enterobacteriaceae. The record is from RNAcentral.